AUUGAACGCUGGCGGCAUGCCUUACACAUGCAAGUCGAACGGUAACAGGUCUUCGGAUGCUGACGAGUGGCGAACGGGUGAGUAAUACAUCGGAAUGUGCCUAGUAGUGGGGGAUAACUACUCGAAAGAGUGGCUAAUACCGCAUGAGAUCUACGGAUGAAAGCAGGGGAUCGCAAGACCUUGUGCUACUAGAGCGGUCGAUGGCAGAUUAGGUAGUUGGUGGGAUAAAAGCUUACCAAGCCGACGAUCUGUAGCUGGUCUGAGAGGACGAUCAGCCGCACUGGGACUGAGACACGGCCCAGACUCCUACGGGAGGCAGCAGUGGGGAAUUUUGGACAAUGGGCGAAAGCCUGAUCCAGCAAUGCCGCGUGCAGGAUGAAGGCCUUCGGGUUGUAAACUGCUUUUGUACGGAACGAAAAGCCCCGGGUUAAUACCCUGGGGUCAUGACGGUACCGUAAGAAUAAGCACCGGCUAACUACGUGCCAGCAGCCGCCGUAA
This 498-nucleotide ribosomal RNA is filed under the name uncultured bacterium. Its description in RNAcentral is "partial 16S ribosomal RNA". It matches the Rfam family "Bacterial small subunit ribosomal RNA", at positions 30 to 523 of the family's 1533-position model. The record is from RNAcentral.